This 258-nucleotide RNase P RNA is filed under the name Schleiferiaceae bacterium. RNAcentral describes it as "partial RNase P RNA component class A". It matches the Rfam family "Bacterial RNase P class A", at positions 110 to 367 of the family's 367-position model. From Rfam's summary of the family: Ribonuclease P (RNase P) is a ubiquitous endoribonuclease, found in archaea, bacteria and eukarya as well as chloroplasts and mitochondria. Its best characterised activity is the generation of mature 5'-ends of tRNAs by cleaving the 5'-leader elements of precursor-tRNAs. The record is from RNAcentral. Lineage: Bacteria; Pseudomonadati; Bacteroidota; Flavobacteriia; Flavobacteriales; Schleiferiaceae.
UGCAACAGAGAGUAGACCGCCUUCGGGUAAGGGUGAAAGGGUGGGGUAAGAGCCCACCGCGGUUCAGGUGACUGAAUUGGCACGGUAAACCUCAUACGCUGAAAUGUCAUGUAUAUCGUGUUCCUUAUGGACCAGGCGACCCGCUUGGAGUUUACUGCACGAGGGGUAGGCAGAUGGAGCGCAUUCGCGAGGGUGCGCCUAGAUAAAUGAUAAGGACCCGCAAGGGGACAGAAUCCGGCUUAUAUCGUCUAACGUUUG